GCCACAGCUACUAAAUUAUGAUUUAAACUUAAUAGUAUUGUAGCCUAUAAUAAAGCUCUAGAUAAGAGCU
RNAcentral lists this ribosomal RNA (70 nucleotides) under Anaxyrus woodhousii (Woodhouse's toad). RNAcentral's name for it is "partial 16S ribosomal RNA". The record is from RNAcentral. Lineage: Eukaryota; Metazoa; Chordata; Amphibia; Anura; Bufonidae.